AGAAUCAACGCUGGCGGCGUGCCUAACACAUGCAAGUCGAACGCGAAAAGGGCUUCGGCUCUUAGUAGAGUGGCGAACGGGUGAGUAACACGUGGGUGACCUACCUUCGAAUGGGGGAUAACGUCCCGAAAGGGACGCUAAUACCGCAUAACAUCCUGCUUUUGAACAGGUGGAGAUCAAAGCCGGGGAUCGCAAGACCUGGCGUUUGAAGAGGGGCCCGCGUCUGAUUAGCUAGUUGGUGAGGUAACGGCCCACCAAGGCGACGAUCAGUA
Molecule: ribosomal RNA, 272 nt
Filed under: uncultured bacterium
Lineage: Bacteria
Description: partial small subunit ribosomal RNA
Rfam family: Bacterial small subunit ribosomal RNA
Source: RNAcentral